GUUGGAAUGACAAUGAAGAGGGGGUUGGGUCACGGGAGUGAGCAUUGGAGUGGGGGUUGGGUCACGGGAGUGGGGUCUUAGGGACCCUCAGCCCUCCUUGAGAAUCCUGAGCAUGAUGUCUGGCAGAGCCUGGACGCUGCCCUCUCCUAAGCAGCCCUUCCCUGAUCACACGAGCUCUGACUUCAGAGUCCCCAGUGGUUUAAGCAGCAAGGGGGCUGGGGGUGGCCCAGCCUGAGAAGUCCACCACCAGAUGGUCCAGGACUGGCAUGAAGGGAUUAUUUGGGGUCCUCUAUCUGGGGUAAGUGGGUCCUCAGUCCUCCCUCAGCAUGUCACCUUGCCUCCUUACAGAGCCUGGGCCCGCUUCCCUCCACCGAUCUCAAGCCGCCCCUCAGACCGAAAACCUCGCUUCUCUCUAACCACUAAUGCUCAAGUCAGUGGCGUCACAUCUGGGCACCUGGGCUUCCCUGGGUUGAGAGCAGGGGUGGAACCGGAUUCUGCCUGGCUUGGGCUGGGGGGUUGAUUUGUGAAGCAGAGAACAGCAGCCCAAAUUUGAUUGUCACGUUGGCAGCCACAGGGAGCGCCUCAAAAACCUUGAAUAAUAGAAUAACAUAAUGAAACCAGAACACCUGUCACUCAGCAUCAACAACCUUCAAUACAUGUCAUAUCUGGUUCCAGUUUGAGGCUCACCUACUUGUCCCCUCCACUGGACCUCUUUCCCUGCCAUUGUUUUGUUGUUUUUGGAAAGAAACAGAUCUUGCGCUCUCUGCAGUUUUCCAUAGUCUGGGUUUUGCUGAAUGCAACACUGUGAUGUCCUUUAUCAUAUUCUUCAGCCCUUCAUUUCUAGGGCUACAAGAUGCUCCUGGUUCAUCUUGUUUAUGCCCUGCCCCAGUGCUAAACUAAGCUAUUUCUCCAGAGGUCUGGUUCGCUUCAUUGGGAAAUGGUUCUAGGUGGGAAUCGACAUCUGGGUUCUAGGUGUGCUCGUUGCUACAGAGUAGUUUUUAGUCAUAGGCUUCUCUGCUGAGAACAAUGAAAUAUAUGUUUGUAUAUACCACGUAUAUACACAUCUGUUGAAUUUAUAUAUGUAAACAUUUGCCUAUAUAUUAAAUUAAAUACAAUUUUAUACUGAGGUCUUCAACUCUAAUCCGUUACCACAAGGAUCAUUCUAGCUUUCUCUUCUUGUUUUUCUAUAGUCUAUCACUCCAUCCGUGAGAAACCUGUCUCCCAUCAUCCACUAACCAUUUAGUUAAUAGUUUAAUACCAGCAUGUGCAUACAGCAGAUUUGGAUUUGGUAACCCAUAACGUUGUGCCUCCAUAAGAAAAACAAACAAACAAACAAACAAACCUUGUAUCAGUUACAGUGCAGUACUUCUGUGUAGCUCCUUUGGCCUUUAGUCUUACAGACUCCACUAAUUUUCAACAUUAUUAAGACAGUAAUAACGACCUCAUAAUUCCCCCCACUUGCUUCACUGAGGUAAUUUCAUACAUUUAUAAUACAUCUAGGUUUAUGUGUGUGUGUGCGUGCGCACACGUGCAACAUUCUGCAUUCUGUCCUAUGAUUUUUCCAACCUCUUAUUUUUAAAAUUUGCACACUUUAAGCUUCACUUUUUGUGCUGUAAGCAUCUGUGGGUUUUGAAAAAUGUCUGCUGCCCUUGUCUUGGUCCAUUCGGGCUGCCCGAACAAAAAUACCAUAGACUGGGUGGCAUAUAAAUGACAGAAUUUUAUUUCUCAUGCUUCUGGUGGCUGGGAAGUCCAAGAUCAGGUUCAACAUUUGCUGACAAAUUUUGUGUCUGGCAGGAACCUGCUUCCCAGUUCAUAGACAGCUCUCUUUCCCAUGUCCUCACAUGGAAGACGGGGCAAGGGAUCUCUGUGGGAUCUGUUUAAUAAAGACACUAAUGCUAUUCAUGACGGCUCUGCUGUCAUGAUUUAAUCAGCCCCCAAAUGACCCACCUCAUACCUAAUACCAUCACCUUGGUGUUAGGAUUUCAACAUAUGAAUUUUCUGGAAAGACAAACAUUGAGACCCAGACAACGUUGUAUCCACCAUUGCAGUAUCAUGCAUAGUAGUUUCACUGCACUAAUAAGUAGCCUGUGCUCCUCUUAUAGCCCCCUUGGCUCCCACUGAUAGGUUUAUGAUAUCUAUAAUUUUGCCUUUUCCAGAAUGUCAUAUAAGUGAAAUCUUACCCUAUCUAGGCUUUUCAGACUGUAUUCUUUCAUACAGCAAUAUGAGCAUAAGACUCACCCAUGUCUUUGUGUGGCUUGUAACAUAUCCUUUUAUUGACUAAUGGUAGCUCAUUUUAUGGUUGUGCCAUGUUUUGUUAUCCAUUCACCUAAUGCAAUAUAUCUUGGAUGCCUCUAUUUUUAUAAAAUAGUGAUUAUAAAAUAAGUUAUUGUAUACAUUCAUAUACAAGUUUUUAUGUAGAAAUAAAUUUUAAAAUCAGCUAGAUAAAAUGCCUAGGAGUAUGAUUGCUGAAUCUUAUGGUAAGACUAUGUUUAGUUUUUUAAAGAAAAUGUCAGAUUAACUUCCAAAGUCGUUUUGCAUUUCUACCAGUAAUGAAUGAAAGUUUCUGUUGUUCCACGUUUUCACUAGCAAUUGGUCUUGUAUUUUUUUGGUGGGGGGAGGGAUUUCAGACAUUCUAGAAGGUAUGUAGUGGUGUCUCAUUUUAGCACACAAUUCUCUAAUGACAAAGGACUUUCAGCACCUUCAAUAUGUUUACUUGUCAUCUGUAUAUCUUCUUUGGUGAAACAUCUGUUCAGAUCUUUUGACUGUUUUCAGUUAUUUUUCUGUUGUUGAGUUUUAAGAAUCCGUGUAUAUUAUAGAUACAUGUUGUUUAUCAGAAAUGUGUACUACAGAUGUUUUCUCUUAGUCCGCAGCUUUUGUUUUCAUUCUGUUUACAGUGUCUUUUGAAGAGCAUAAGACUUUUAUUUUAAUACACUCCAAUUUGGCAAUUUUUUCUUUCAUUGAUCAUGAUUUUGGUGUUGAAUUUAAAAACACAUCACCAAACUUAAGCUUACGUAGAUAUUCUCUUAUGUUUUCUUAGAGAAGUUGUAUAGUUUUUGCAUUUGCAUUAUCUCUAUGAUGUAUCUUUGGUUAAUUUUCGUGAAAUACCUAAG
Molecule: long non-coding RNA, 3110 nt
Filed under: Homo sapiens (human)
Lineage: Eukaryota; Metazoa; Chordata; Mammalia; Primates; Hominidae
Description: HSALNT0287532
Source: RNAcentral